UACGUAGGGUGCGAGCGUUGUCCGGAAUUACUGGGCGUAAAGAGCUCGUAGGUGGUUUGUCGCGUUGUUCGUGAAAUCUCACGGCUUAACUGGGGGCGUGCGGGCGAUACGGGCAGACUGGAGUACUGCAGGGGAGACUGGAAUUCCUGGUGUAGCGGUGGAAUGCGCAGAUAUCAGGAGGAACACCGGUGGCGAAGGCGGGUCUCUGGGCAGUAACUGACGCUGAGGAGCGAAAGCGUGGGGAGCGAACAGG
This 253-nucleotide ribosomal RNA is filed under the name uncultured bacterium. Its description in RNAcentral is "partial 16S ribosomal RNA". It matches the Rfam family "Bacterial small subunit ribosomal RNA", at positions 524 to 776 of the family's 1533-position model. The record is from RNAcentral.